This 2899-nucleotide ribosomal RNA is filed under the name Klebsiella pneumoniae. Its description in RNAcentral is "23S ribosomal RNA". It matches the Rfam family "Bacterial large subunit ribosomal RNA". The record is from RNAcentral. Lineage: Bacteria; Pseudomonadati; Pseudomonadota; Gammaproteobacteria; Enterobacterales; Enterobacteriaceae.
UUAAGCGACUAAGCGUACACGGUGGAUGCCCUGGCAGUCAGAGGCGAUGAAGGACGUGCUAAUCUGCGAAAAGCGUCGGUAAGGUGAUAUGAACCGUUAUAACCGGCGAUGUCCGAAUGGGGAAACCCAGUGCAAUUCGUUGCACUAUCGUUAACUGAAUACAUAGGUUAACGAGGCGAACCGGGGGAACUGAAACAUCUAAGUACCCCGAGGAAAAGAAAUCAACCGAGAUUCCCCCAGUAGCGGCGAGCGAACGGGGAGCAGCCCAGAGUCUGAAUCAGCUUGUGUGUUAGUGGAACGGUCUGGAAAGUCCGACGGUACAGGGUGAUAGUCCCGUACACCAAAAUGCACAGGUUGUGAACUCGAAGAGUAGGGCGGGACACGUGGUAUCCUGUCUGAAUAUGGGGGGACCAUCCUCCAAGGCUAAAUACUCCUGACUGACCGAUAGUGAACCAGUACCGUGAGGGAAAGGCGAAAAGAACCCCGGCGAGGGGAGUGAAAAAGAACCUGAAACCGUGUACGUACAAGCAGUGGGAGCACCUUCGGGUGUGACUGCGUACCUUUUGUAUAAUGGGUCAGCGACUUAUAUUCUGUAGCAAGGUUAACCGUAUAGGGGAGCCGCAGGGAAACCGAGUCUUAACUGGGCGUUAAGUUGCAGGGUAUAGACCCGAAACCCGGUGAUCUAGCCAUGGGCAGGUUGAAGGUUGGGUAACACUAACUGGAGGACCGAACCGACUAAUGUUGAAAAAUUAGCGGAUGACUUGUGGCUGGGGGUGAAAGGCCAAUCAAACCGGGAGAUAGCUGGUUCUCCCCGAAAGCUAUUUAGGUAGCGCCUCGUGAACUCAUCUUCGGGGGUAGAGCACUGUUUCGGCUAGGGGGUCAUCCCGACUUACCAACCCGAUGCAAACUACGAAUACCGAAGAAUGUUAUCACGGGAGACACACGGCGGGUGCUAACGUCCGUCGUGAAGAGGGAAACAACCCAGACCGCCAGCUAAGGUCCCAAAGUCAUGGUUAAGUGGGAAACGAUGUGGGAAGGCACAGACAGCCAGGAUGUUGGCUUAGAAGCAGCCAUCAUUUAAAGAAAGCGUAAUAGCUCACUGGUCGAGUCGGCCUGCGCGGAAGAUGUAACGGGGCUAAACCAUGCACCGAAGCUGCGGCAGCGACACUAUGUGUUGUUGGGUAGGGGAGCGUUCUGUAAGCCUGCGAAGGUGUGCUGUGAGGCAUGCUGGAGGUAUCAGAAGUGCGAAUGCUGACAUAAGUAACGAUAAAGCGGGUGAAAAGCCCGCUCGCCGGAAGACCAAGGGUUCCUGUCCAACGUUAAUCGGGGCAGGGUGAGUCGACCCCUAAGGCGAGGCCGAAAGGCGUAGUCGAUGGGAAACAGGUUAAUAUUCCUGUACUUGGUGUUACUGCGAAGGGGGGACGGAGAAGGCUAUGUUAGCCGGGCGACGGUUGUCCCGGUUUAAGCAUGUAGGCUGAUUGUCCAGGCAAAUCCGGAUAAUCAAGGCUGAGGUGUGAUGACGAGGCACUACGGUGCUGAAGUAACAAAUGCCCUGCUUCCAGGAAAAGCCUCUAAGCAUCAGGUAACAUUAAAUCGUACCCCAAACCGACACAGGUGGUCAGGUAGAGAAUACCAAGGCGCUUGAGAGAACUCGGGUGAAGGAACUAGGCAAAAUGGUGCCGUAACUUCGGGAGAAGGCACGCUGGUGUGUAGGUGAAGUCCCUGCGGAUGGAGCUGAGACCAGUCGAAGAUACCAGCUGGCUGCAACUGUUUAUUAAAAACACAGCACUGUGCAAACACGAAAGUGGACGUAUACGGUGUGACGCCUGCCCGGUGCCGGAAGGUUAAUUGAUGGGGUUAUCCGUAAGGAGAAGCUCUUGAUCGAAGCCCCGGUAAACGGCGGCCGUAACUAUAACGGUCCUAAGGUAGCGAAAUUCCUUGUCGGGUAAGUUCCGACCUGCACGAAUGGCGUAAUGAUGGCCAGGCUGUCUCCACCCGAGACUCAGUGAAAUUGAACUCGCUGUGAAGAUGCAGUGUACCCGCGGCAAGACGGAAAGACCCCGUGAACCUUUACUAUAGCUUGACACUGAACAUUGAGCCUUGAUGUGUAGGAUAGGUGGGAGGCUUUGAAGCGUGGACGCCAGUCUGCGUGGAGCCAACCUUGAAAUACCACCCUUUAAUGUUUGAUGUUCUAACGUUGGCCCCUGACCGGGGUUGCGGACAGUGUCUGGUGGGUAGUUUGACUGGGGCGGUCUCCUCCCAAAGCGUAACGGAGGAGCACGAAGGUUAGCUAAUCCUGGUCGGACAUCAGGAGGUUAGUGCAAUGGCAUAAGCUAGCUUGACUGCGAGCGUGACGGCGCGAGCAGGUGCGAAAGCAGGUCAUAGUGAUCCGGUGGUUCUGAAUGGAAGGGCCAUCGCUCAACGGAUAAAAGGUACUCCGGGGAUAACAGGCUGAUACCGCCCAAGAGUUCAUAUCGACGGCGGUGUUUGGCACCUCGAUGUCGGCUCAUCACAUCCUGGGGCUGAAGUAGGUCCCAAGGGUAUGGCUGUUCGCCAUUUAAAGUGGUACGCGAGCUGGGUUUAGAACGUCGUGAGACAGUUCGGUCCCUAUCUGCCGUGGGCGCUGGAGAAUUGAGGGGGGCUGCUCCUAGUACGAGAGGACCGGAGUGGACGCAUCACUGGUGUUCGGGUUGUCAUGCCAAUGGCACUGCCCGGUAGCUAAAUGCGGAAGAGAUAAGUGCUGAAAGCAUCUAAGCACGAAACUUGCCCCGAGAUGAGUUCUCCCUGAGACUUUAAGUCUCCUGAAGGAACGUUGAAGACGACGACGUUGAUAGGCCGGGUGUGUAAGCGCAGCGAUGCGUUGAGCUAACCGGUACUAAUGAACCGUGAGGCUUAACCU